This 253-nucleotide ribosomal RNA is filed under the name uncultured bacterium. Its description in RNAcentral is "partial 16S ribosomal RNA". It matches the Rfam family "Bacterial small subunit ribosomal RNA", at positions 524 to 777 of the family's 1533-position model. The record is from RNAcentral.
GACGGAGGGGGCUAGCGUUGUUCGGAAUGACUGGGCGUAAAGGGCGCGUAGGCGGCUUUUUAAGUGAGGCGUGAAAGCCCUGGGCUUAACCCAGGAGGUGCGUUUCAUACUGAAAGGCUUGAGUACGAGAGAGGAAAGUGGAAUUCCUAGUGUAGAGGUGAAAUUCGUAGAUAUUAGGAAGAACACCAGUGGCGAAGGCGCUUUCUGGCUCGUAACUGACGCUGAGGCGCGAAAGCGUGGGGAGCAAACAGGG